GGUGCAGCCCGCAGCGGCCGGGGACGCGGCUGAGGAGGCUGAGGCCGAAAUCAUCCAGCUGCUGAAGCGAGCCAAGUUGAGUAUCAUGAAAGAUGAGCCAGAAGAAGCUGAGCUAAUUUUGCAUGACGCUCUCCGUCUUGCCUAUCAGAGCGGAAACAAGAAGGCCAUCACCUACACCUAUGAUUUGAUGGCCAACUUAGCAUUUAUACGUGGUGAACUUGAAAAUGCAGAAAAACUUUUUAAAGCAACAAUGAGUUAUCUGCUUGGAGGGGGCAUGAAGCAGAAGGUUGAUUCUCCCCACCAGGACCUUUAUAAAAAUUGCCAAUCUUUCACAAUUGCAAAAACAAAACAAAACAAAAAAACGGAAGACAAUGCAAUCGUUGAGAUCUCCUUAAAGCUGGCCAGUAUCUAUGCUGCUCAAAAUAGACAGGAAUUUGCUCUUGCUGGCUAUGAAUUCUGCAUUUCAACUCUAGAGGGGAAAAUGGAAAGAGAAGAUGAGCUAGCUGAAGACAUUCUGUCAGUGGAAGAGAAAGCUGAUACCCACCUCCUCCUAGGCAUGUGCUUAGACGCCUAUGCUCGCUACCUUCUGUGCACCAAGCAGCCAUCACAGGCACAGAAGAUGUAUGAGAAAGCUUUGAAGAUUUCUGAAGAAAUACAAGGAGAAACACACCCACAGACCAUUGUGCUGAUGAACGACCUGGCUACCUCUCUGGAUGCACAAGGGCACUUCGACGAAGCCUUCACUUACGUGCAGAGGGCGUCCGAACUGGCAAGAGAGACUAGACACCCUGAGUUGCACAUGGUACUCAGUAAUCUAGCCGCAAUUCUGAUGCACAGGGAAAGAUAUCCGCAAGCCAAAGAGAUCUACCAGGAAGCACUGAAGCAAGCAGAGCUGAAGAAAGAUGAGGUGUCCAUACAGCACAUCAGAGAAGAGUUGGCCGAGCUGUCAAGAAAAAAGUGAAGUGACACACAUGCACUGAGGUGGGAGUGGAGGGAGGAACUAACAGCAGCUCACCCAGGGGUCCUCAAGUAGAACUGCAAAACAAGAUUAUGGAUGCCAGAAGGAGAGAGGAUGAAAAAGGAACCAGCCUACAGAAUAAUUUGAGAAAAGUGUAAGCUGGACUUGUCUCUUCAAACAUACAUGGAGGAACGCUUGUAAGUUCUUACAGAUUUGUAAGAGCCCCAAUAAAAUGAUUAAUAUGAUAUACUAAAAAAUA
Echinops telfairi (small Madagascar hedgehog) is the source of this 1217-nucleotide RNA transcript. It is a transcript of the gene named tetratricopeptide repeat domain 19, with no coding region annotated. The record is from RefSeq and is a predicted model, not a curated record. The transcript has 12 exons. Lineage: Eukaryota; Metazoa; Chordata; Mammalia; Afrosoricida; Tenrecidae.